This 1545-nucleotide long non-coding RNA is filed under the name Neodiprion pinetum (white pine sawfly). RNAcentral describes it as "uncharacterized LOC124215465". Lineage: Eukaryota; Metazoa; Arthropoda; Insecta; Hymenoptera; Diprionidae. The record is from RNAcentral.
UAAGGCUGGAGAGGCGAGAUGCGCGGAUGCAUCAUGCAUCUUGUGCUGCACCGAUUCGACCAACACGAAACUAGCAAGGCAAAGCACAAUUGUGACGUUUAACAAGCCAAUGUCAGAACCUCGUCCAAAAAGGGUACCGCCAAUUAUGAGUGCUUCGUCACCAACUCACAUCACGGAUACGAUGAUAACCGACUAGAACUGGAGGCAACCGAAGAAGCGGGAACAUGAUGAUAAACGAUUGGACCCGAGGGAAACCGAACACCAUAAAAACAGAUCGACCAUGGACAGAGCAAAACGGACAGCAUGGCCAGUGACGCACACAAAUGCAACACUCGACAAUAAGGAUUCGCGGUUCGGACAGCAGCGGUGCGAUACUGGGACAGGAUUAAAUUUGUCAGAAGGCAAAGAUGUCCACAACAACGUGGUGCUCGCACAAGUCAAAUACUUCGAGAGAUCCGCACAAGUUACAAUAUAUUGUGUUGCAAAAUAGAGGAAGAUAAAGAAUCAGUGAGAUGUCUAAAAUACUUCUGUUCAGCUUUUUAUCGAUAAGCAGAACAUAAACUAAGCAUAAAACAGCCUUCGACAAAACUAAGCCAGCGCAAGACAGUGUUUUUGUUACAAUUGAUUUAUUGUUUUAGUCCUCCAAAUUUCAAAAAUGACAUCCGUGUGCAAAUAUACAGUGUGAGAUCAGUAUAAUGAUUGUUAAACCAUUCCAUACCGGGAUCAGUUACUAUAUUAUUAAAUCUGAAUAACCAUAAGUCUUUGCCUAUAUCCUGGAGUUAUACUAAAAUUAAGACGGAAUGAGUCUCACAGUCCGAUCCAAAAAGUUAGCAAUAUAGAAAAAACCGUUUGAAAAAUGUCCAACAAUGUUAUGUACAGCAAUAAUAGCGAACACCGGGAUGAAUACCAAUCAAACAACAGCUCUGAUACAUAAUAGAAAUGAAUUUGAGACAAUUCGAACAGAAGCAGAGAUAUUAAUAAUUUAACAAUAGGUUAAAAAUUGAAACAUUCAUAAUAGUUAAACAAGUGCUUUUGAUCCAGAUCAACGUUUAUUUGGAUUCAUUUUGUUCACCAUAAGGAUUUCCGAAGAAAACCGGAAAAAAAUUACACAAACGAUGUUCGACAACAAUUAACUGUGUGCAUUAUAACAAUACUAUGAUGUAAGAUUUAUCUAAUAUUUCAGGUAAUCCAUGAGGAUCUAUUCAGCGAGUAAAAAGAAGCAAAUAGACAUUGGGAUUGGAUUGUGAACACCAGUUUGAUCAUUUUUAUUCAUGUAACAAUUUUUUGAACUGCUGUCAUCUUAGCUUGUGUUAUUUGAAUUCCCUCACGUUCCUUGUUACAUGAUAGGAAUGUUGUUUCAUUCAUGAUUAUUAUCAUUGGCAUAAGAAACAUGUUGCAGAUUUUUUAACGAUUUUUUUUCUUUCCCUGACUUCUGGCUCAGACAGAGGAGCCCACUAAUCGUUAAGCUGAAGAGGUUAGAAAGAGUCCAACAUGUAUCAUUGUGUAGCAGACUUCUAGAAAUUCUAAUUUUCUGUCACUGAUAGG